RNAcentral lists this ribosomal RNA (253 nucleotides) under uncultured bacterium. Its description in RNAcentral is "partial 16S ribosomal RNA". It matches the Rfam family "Bacterial small subunit ribosomal RNA", at positions 524 to 776 of the family's 1533-position model. The record is from RNAcentral.
UACGAAGGGGGCGAGCGUUGUUCGGAUUUACUGGGCGUAAAGGGCGCGCAGGCGGCUUUGUUUGUCAGGCGUGAAAGCCCCGGGCUUAACCUGGGAACUGCGUUUGAUACGGCAGGGCUAGAGUUCGGGAGAGGAGAGUGGAAUUCCCAGUGUAGAGGUGAAAUUCGUAGAUAUUGGGAAGAACACCGGUGGCGAAGGCGGCUCACUGGUCCGGUACUGACGCUGAGGUGCGAAAGCGUGGGGAGCAAACAGG